This 543-nucleotide ribosomal RNA is filed under the name uncultured bacterium. RNAcentral describes it as "partial 16S ribosomal RNA". It matches the Rfam family "Bacterial small subunit ribosomal RNA", at positions 355 to 889 of the family's 1533-position model. The record is from RNAcentral.
UGGGGAAUUUUGGGACAAUGGGGGAAACCCUGAUCCAGCCAUCCCGCGUGUGCGAUGAAGGCCUUCGGGUUGUAAAGCACUUUUGGCAGGAAAGAGACGUCGCGGGUUAAUACCCCGCGAAACUGACGGUACCUGCAGAAUAAGCACCGGCUAACUACGUGCCAGCAGCCGCGGUAAUACGUAGGGUGCAAGCGUUAAUCGGAAUUACUGGGCGUAAAGCGUGCGCAGGCGGUUCGGAAAGAAAGAUGUGAAAUCCCAGAGCUUAACUUUGGAACUGCAUUUUUAACUACCGGGCUAGAGUGUGUCAGAGGGAGGUGGAAUUCCGCGUGUAGCAGUGAAAUGCGUAGAUAUGCGGAGGAACACCGAUGGCGAAGGCAGCCUCCUGGGAUAACACUGACGCUCAUGCACGAAAGCGUGGGGAGCAAACAGGAUUAGAUACCCUGGUAGUCCACGCCCUAAACGAUGUCAACUAGCUGUUGGGGGCCUUCGGGCCUUGGUAGCGCAGCUAACGCGUGAAGUUGACCGCCUGGGGAGUACGGCCGC